CCUACGGGAGGCAGCAGUGGGGAAUAUUGCACAAUGGGGGAAACCCUGAUGCAGCGACGCCGCGUGAGUGAAGAAGUAUUUCGGUAUGUAAAGCUCUAUCAGCAGGGAAGAAGAAAGACGGUACCUGACUAAGAAGCCCCGGCGAACUACGUGCCAGCAGCCGCGGUAAUACGUAGGGGGCAAGCGUUACCCGGAUUUACUGGGUGUAAAGGGAGCGUAGACGGCUGUGCAAGUCUGAAGUGAAAGCCCAGGGCUCAACCCUGGGACUGCUUUGGAAACUGAGGAGCUAGAGUGCUGGAGAGGUAAGCGGAAUUCCUAGUGUAGCGGUGAAAUGCGUAGAUAUUACGAAGAACACCGGUGGCGAAGGCAGCUUACUGGACAGUAACUGACGUUGAGGCACGAAAGCGUGGGGAGCGAACAGGAUUAGAUACCCUGGUAGUC
Molecule: ribosomal RNA, 441 nt
Filed under: uncultured bacterium
Lineage: Bacteria
Description: partial 16S ribosomal RNA
Rfam family: Bacterial small subunit ribosomal RNA
Source: RNAcentral